Molecule: ribosomal RNA, 497 nt
Filed under: uncultured bacterium
Lineage: Bacteria
Description: partial 16S ribosomal RNA
Rfam family: Bacterial small subunit ribosomal RNA
Source: RNAcentral
GAUGAACGCUGGCGGCGUGCCUAAUACAUGCAAGUCGAGCGAACGGACGAGAAGCUUGCUUCUCUGAUGUUAGCGGCGGACGGGUGAGUAACACGUGGAUAACCUACCUAUAAGACUGGGAUAACUUCGGGAAACCGGAGCUAAUACCGGAUAAUAUUUUGAACAGUAUGGUUCAAAAGUGAAAGACGGUCUUGCUGUCACUUAUAGAUGGAUCCGCGCUGCAUUAGCUAGUUGGUAAGGUAACGGCUUACCAAGGCAACGAUGCAUAGCCGACCUGAGAGGGUGAUCGGCCACACUGGAACUGAGACACGGUCCAGACUCCUACGGGAGGCAGCAGUAGGGAAUCUUCCGCAAUGGGCGAAAGCCUGACGGAGCAACGCCGCGUGAGUGAUGAAGGUCUUCGGAUCGUAAAACUCUGUUAUUAGGGAAGAACAUAUGUGUAAGUAACUGUGCACAUCUUGACGGUACCUAAUCAGAAAGCCACGGCUAACUACGUG